RNAcentral lists this ribosomal RNA (439 nucleotides) under uncultured bacterium. RNAcentral's name for it is "partial 16S ribosomal RNA". It matches the Rfam family "Bacterial small subunit ribosomal RNA", at positions 339 to 795 of the family's 1533-position model. The record is from RNAcentral.
CUACGGGAGGCAGCAGUGAGGAAUAUUGCACAAUGGGGGGAACCCUGAUGCAGCAACGCCGCGUGGAGGAUGACGCAUUUCGGUGUGUAAACUCCUUUUAUAUGUCAAGAGAAUGACGGUAGCAUAUGAAUAAGCACCGGCUAACUCCGUGCCAGCAGCCGCGGUAAUACGGAGGGUGCAAGCGUUACUCGGAAUCACUGGGCGUAAAGGACGCGUAGGCGGGCUUGUAAGUCAGGUGUGAAAUCCUACAGCUUAACUGUAGAACUGCACUUGAAACUACGAGCCUAGAGUAUGGGAGGGGCAGAUGGAAUUAGUGGUGUAGGGGUAAAAUCCGUAGAUAUCACUAGGAAUACCUAAAGCGAAGGCGAUCUGCUGGAACAUAACUGACGCUAAGGCGUGAAAGCGUGGGGAGCAAACAGGAUUAGAUACCCCAGUAGUC